This 310-nucleotide ribosomal RNA is filed under the name uncultured bacterium. RNAcentral's name for it is "partial 16S ribosomal RNA". It matches the Rfam family "Bacterial small subunit ribosomal RNA", at positions 503 to 807 of the family's 1533-position model. The record is from RNAcentral.
AAGAGACAGCAGCCGCCGCGGUAAUACGAAGGGGGCUAGCGUUGUUCGGAAUUACUGGGCGUAGAGCGCACGUAGGCGGAUAUUUAAGUCAGGGGUGAAAUCCCAGAGCUCAACUCUGGAACUGCCUUUGAUACUGGGUAUCUUGAGUAUGGAAGAGGUGAGUGGAAUUCCGAGUGUAGAGGUGAAAUUCGUAGAUAUUCGGAGGAACACCAGUGGCGAAGGCGGCUCACUGGUCCAUUACUGACGCUGAGGUGCGAAAGCGUGGGUAGCAAACAGGAUUAGAUACCCGCGUAGUCCCUGUCUCUUAUAC